CUUUAAAGAAAGCGUAAUAGCUCACUAGUCGAGUCGGCCUGCGCGGAAGAUGUAACGGGGCUCAAACCAUGCACCGAAGCUACGGGUAUCAUCGUAUGAUGAUGCGGUAGAGGAGCGUUCUGUAAGCCUGUGAAGGUGAGUUGAGAAGCUUGCUGGAGGUAUCAGAAGUGCGAAUGCUGACAUGAGUAACGACAAUGCGAGUGAAAAACUCGCACGCCGAAAGACCAAGGUUUCCUGCGCAACGUUAAUCGACGCAGGGUUAGUCGGUCCCUAAGGCGAGGCUGAAAAGCGUAGUCGAUGGAAAACAGGUUAAUAUUCCUGUACUUCCAGUUAUUGCGAUGGAGGGACGGAGAAGGUUAGGCCAGCCUGGCGUUGGUUGUCCAGGUUUAAGGUGGUAGGCUGAAAUCUUAGGCAAAUCCGGGAUUUCAAGGCCGAGAGCUGAUGACGAGUUGCCUUCAGGCGACGAAGUGGUUGAUACCAUGCUUCCAAGAAAAGCUCCUAAGCUUCAGAUAACUGGGAACCGUACCCCAAACCGACACAGGUGGUUAGGUAGAG
RNAcentral lists this ribosomal RNA (555 nucleotides) under Pseudomonas fulva. RNAcentral's name for it is "partial 23S ribosomal RNA". It matches the Rfam family "Bacterial large subunit ribosomal RNA", at positions 1121 to 1676 of the family's 2925-position model. Lineage: Bacteria; Pseudomonadati; Pseudomonadota; Gammaproteobacteria; Pseudomonadales; Pseudomonadaceae. The record is from RNAcentral.